RNAcentral lists this ribosomal RNA (450 nucleotides) under uncultured bacterium. Its description in RNAcentral is "bacterial SSU rRNA". It matches the Rfam family "Bacterial small subunit ribosomal RNA", at positions 29 to 524 of the family's 1533-position model. The record is from RNAcentral.
AACGAACGCUGGCGGCAUGCCUAACACAUGCAAGUCGAACGAAGCCUUCGGGCUUAGUGGCGCACGGGUGCGUAACACGUGGGAAUCUGCCCUUUGGUUCGGAAUAACAGUUAGAAAUGACUGCUAAUACCGGAUAAUGACGUAAGUCCAAAGAUUUAUCGCCGAAGGAUGAGCCCGCGUAGGAUUAGGUAGUUGGUGGGGUAAUGGCCCACCAAGCCGACGAUCCUUAGCUGGUCUGAGAGGAUGAUCAGCCACACUGGGACUGAGACACGGCCCAGACUCCUACGGGAGGCAGCAGUGGGGAAUAUUGGACAAUGGGCGAAAGCCUGAUCCAGCAAUGCCGCGUGAGUGAUGAAGGCCUUAGGGUUGUAAAGCUCUUUUACCAGGGAUGAUAAUGACAGUACCUGGAGAAUAAGCUCGGCUAACUCCGUAGCCAGCAGCCGCGGUAAU